Molecule: ribosomal RNA, 2015 nt
Filed under: Clostridium beijerinckii
Lineage: Bacteria; Bacillati; Bacillota; Clostridia; Eubacteriales; Clostridiaceae
Description: partial 23S ribosomal RNA
Rfam family: Bacterial large subunit ribosomal RNA
Source: RNAcentral
GAGGUAGAGCACUGAAUAGGCUAGGGGGCAUAGCGCUUACCGAACCUUAUCAAACUCCGAAUGCCACAUACUAUCAGUCCGGCAGUCAGACUAUGAAAGAUAAGUUCCAUGGUCAAAAGGGAAACAGCCAGAUCGUCAGCUAAGGUCCCAAAGUGUAAGUUAAGUGGAAAAGGAUGUGGGAUUUCUAAGACAACUAGGAUGUUGGCUUAGAAGCAGCCACUCAUUAAAAGAAUGCGUAAUAGCUCACUAGUCAAGAGAUCCUGCGCCGAAAAUGUCCGGGGCUCAAACUUACCACCGAAGCUACGGGUUCACGCAUUUGCGUGAGCGGUAGAGGAGCGUCGUAAUCGGGCUGAAGUCGUACCGUAAGGAGCGGUGGACUGAUUACGAGUGAGAAUGUUGGCAUUAGUAGCGAGAUGUAGGCGAGAAUCCUACAGGCCGAAUAUCUAAGGUUUCCUGAGUAAAGUUUGUCUUCUCAGGGUUAGUCGGGACCUAAGGCGAGGCCGAAAGGCGUAGUCGAUGGACAAUUGGUUGAUAUUCCAAUACCACUAUAAUCGUUAUUAUCGAUGGUGUGACGGAGAAGGAUAGGAUGUGCUAGCUAUUGGAUGCUAGUCUAAGCGUUUAGGGAGUUGGGAUUGGCAAAUCCGUUCCAACAAUUCUGAGGCGUGAUGGGGAAGGUUCUACGGAACCGAAGUAUCUGAUUCCAUGCUUCCAAGAAAAGCAUCUAGAAAGAGAAGUAGUGCCCGUACCGCAAACCGACACAGGUAGAUGAGGAGAGAAUCCUAAGGCCGACGGAAGAAUUGCAGUUAAGGAACUAGGCAAAUUGACCCCGUAACUUCGGGAGAAGGGGUGCCUGAGAAAUCAGGCCGCAGAGAAUAGGCACAAGCAACUGUUUAACAAAAACACAGGUCUCUGCUAAAGCGAAAGCUGAUGUAUAGGGGCUGACGCCUGCCCGGUGCUGGAAGGUUAAGGGGAACACUUAGUGGUAACGCGAAGGUGUGAACUUAAGCCCCAGUAAACGGCGGCCGUAACUAUAACGGUCCUAAGGUAGCGAAAUUCCUUGUCAGGUAAGUUCUGACCCGCACGAAUGGCGUAAUGAUUUGUGCACUGUCUCAACUGCAAAUCCGGCGAAGUUGUAGUGCGAGUGAAGAUGCUCGCUACCCGCGAUUGGACGGAAAGACCCCGUAGAGCUUUACUGUAGCUUAGCAUUGAAUUUCGGUAUUGUCUGUACAGGAUAGGUGGGAGACUGGGAAACUAGGGCGUCAGCCUUGGUGGAGUCGUUGUUGGGAUACCACCCUGAUAGUAUUGAAGUUCUAACUGGAUGCCAUGAAACUGGUGACAGGACAUUGUUAGGUGGGCAGUUUGACUGGGGCGGUCGCCUCCUAAAAUGUAACGGAGGCGCCCAAAGGUUCCCUCAGAACGGUCGGAAAUCGUUCGAAGAGUGUAAAGGCAGAAGGGAGCCUGACUGCGACACCUACAAGUGGAGCAGGGACGAAAGUCGGGCUUAGUGAUCCGGUGGUACCUCGUGGGAGGGCCAUCGCUCAACGGAUAAAAGCUACCUCGGGGAUAACAGGCUGAUCUCCCCCAAGAGUUCACAUCGACGGGGAGGUUUGGCACCUCGAUGUCGGCUCGUCGCAUCCUGGGGCUGAAGUAGGUCCCAAGGGUUGGGCUGUUCGCCCAUUAAAGCGGCACGCGAGCUGGGUUCAGAACGUCGUGAGACAGUUCGGUCCCUAUCCGUCGCGGGCGUAGGAAAUUUGAGAGGAGCUGUCCUUAGUACGAGAGGACCGGGAUGGACUGACCUAUGGUGUACCAGUUGUUUCGCCAGAAGCAUAGCUGGAUAGCUAAGUCGGGAAGGGAUAAACGCUGAAAGCAUCUAAGUGUGAAGCCCACCUCAAGAUGAGAUUUCCCAUAGCAUAAGCUAGUAAGACCCCUUGAAGACUACAAGGUUGAUAGGUCAGAGGUGUAAGUGUGGUAACAUAUUUAGCUGACUGAUACUAAUAGGUCGAGGGCUUGACCAA